GACAGAGGGUGCGAACGUUGCUCGGAAUCACUGGGCGUAAAGCGCGUGUAGGCUGACGGUCAAGUCAGGUGUGAAAUCCCUGGGCUCAACCCAGGAACUGCAUCUGAAACUGGCCAUCUUGAGUACUGGAGAGGGAAGCGGAAUUCCUGGUGUAGAGGUGAAAUUCGUAGAUAUCAGGAGGAACACCGGUGGCGAAGGCGGCUUCCUGGACAGUUACUGACGCUGAGACGCGAAAGCGUGUGGAGCAGACAGG
This 253-nucleotide ribosomal RNA is filed under the name uncultured bacterium. RNAcentral describes it as "partial 16S ribosomal RNA". It matches the Rfam family "Bacterial small subunit ribosomal RNA", at positions 524 to 776 of the family's 1533-position model. The record is from RNAcentral.